GUGAAUCAUCGAAUCUUUGAACGCACAUUGCGCCCUCUGGUAUUCCGGAGGGCAUGCCUGUUCGAGCGUCAUUACACCCUCAAGCCUUGCUUGGUGUUGGGAGCUGCCUGCGCACUCCUCAAAAACAGUGGUGACGGCUGAUCAACUCACGCGUAGUACUUACUCCACGACGAUGAGAUCAGUCUCCCCCAGAAAGCCUCUUGUUUGACCUCGGAUCAGGUAGGGAUACCCGCUGAACUUAAGCAUAUCAAUAAGCGGAGGA
Molecule: unclassified non-coding RNA, 262 nt
Filed under: Kendrickiella sp.
Lineage: Eukaryota; Fungi; Ascomycota
Description: partial contains 5.8S ribosomal RNA, internal transcribed spacer 2, and large subunit ribosomal RNA
Rfam family: 5.8S ribosomal RNA (bases 1-71)
Source: RNAcentral